RNAcentral lists this ribosomal RNA (497 nucleotides) under uncultured bacterium. RNAcentral's name for it is "partial 16S ribosomal RNA". It matches the Rfam family "Bacterial small subunit ribosomal RNA", at positions 28 to 507 of the family's 1533-position model. The record is from RNAcentral.
GAUGAACGCUGGCGGCGUGCCUAAUACAUGCAAGUCGAGCGAACAGACGAGGAGCUUGCUCCUCUGACGUUAGCGGCGGACGGGUGAGUAACACGUGGAUAACCUACCUAUAAGACUGGGAUAACUUCGGGAAACCGGAGCUAAUACCGGAUAAUAUAUUGAACCGCAUGGUUCAAUAGUGAAAGACGGUUUUGCUGUCACUUAUAGAUGGAUCCGCGCCGCAUUAGCUAGUUGGUAAGGUAACGGCUUACCAAGGCAACGAUGCGUAGCCGACCUGAGAGGGUGAUCGGCCACACUGGAACUGAGACACGAUCCAGACUCCUACGGGAGGCAGCAGUAGGGAAUCUUCCGCAAUGGGCGAAAGCCUGACGGAGCAACGCCGCGUGAGUGAUGAAGGUCUUCGGAUUGUAAAACUCUGUUAUUAGGGAAGAACAAAUGUGUAAGUAACUAUGCACGUCUUGACGGUACCUAAUCAGAAAGCCACGGCUAACUACGUG